RNAcentral lists this long non-coding RNA (702 nucleotides) under Medicago truncatula (barrel medic). RNAcentral describes it as "long non-coding RNA (MTRU_LNC000957)". Lineage: Eukaryota; Viridiplantae; Streptophyta; Magnoliopsida; Fabales; Fabaceae. The record is from RNAcentral.
CAGUUCACAAACCACCAAAGCAUUCUCCUACUCCUAAACCACCAGUUCAUAAACCACCAAGAUAUCCUCCUAAACCAUCACCUUGUCCACCCCCAUCAUCAACACCAAAACCACCUCAUCAUCCCAAACCCCCAGCAGUACACCCACCACAUGUUCCAAAACCACAUCCACCUUAUGUUCCAAAACCACCAAUUGUUAAACCUCCAAUAGUACAUCCACCUUACGUACCAAAACCCCCAGUUGUGAAACCACCACCAUAUGUCCCUAAACCACCUGUUGUGAGACCACCCUAUGUUCCUAAACCACCAGUUGUACCUGUAACACCACCUUAUGUUCCUAAGCCACCAAUUGUUUUCCCACCACAUGUUCCUCUACCUCCAGUUGUACCAUCACCACCACCUUAUGUACCAACACCUCCAAUUGUGAAACCACCAAUUGUUUUUCCACCACAUGUUCCUCUACCUCCAGUUGUGCCUGUAACACCACCUUAUGUGCAACCACCACCUAUUGUAACUCCACCAACACCAACACCUCCAAUUGUGACACCACCAACACCACCUAGUGAAACACCUUGUCCUCCACCACCACUUGUACCUUAUCCACCACCACCAGCACAACAAACAUGUUCCAUUGAUGCUUUGAAGUUGGGUGCAUGUGUUGAUGUGCUUGGUGGACUCAUACAUAUUGGUAUAGGUGGAAGUG